This is a long non-coding RNA of Octopus sinensis (East Asian common octopus), 1317 nucleotides long. RefSeq lists it as uncharacterized. The record is from RefSeq and is a predicted model, not a curated record. The transcript has 2 exons. Lineage: Eukaryota; Metazoa; Mollusca; Cephalopoda; Octopoda; Octopodidae.
GACACCUGUCCAAAGUGUCAUGCGGUGGGACUGAACCCGAAACCACAUAGCUAGGAAGCAAGCUCCCUAACUACACGGCCAUAUAUAUAUAUAUACACACACACACACACACAUACACACAAGGGGGCUCCUGAACAGUUCCUGACUUUUAGAUUAAAAAAUAUAUGUGAGGAUUUUUUGCAACAUAUUCCCAUCUCAGAUUUACAGUGCAGUGGUCCUUCAGUUUUUCUAAUCCCUGUAAAAGAACUCAAAAUGUUGGGUCCCCAACAUCUGUAACAGUGACCACUUCUGAGUUGGAGUGAAAUUUCAUUCCCUUCAGAGGUAAUAGUUGAAGAGGGCCAAAUCAGGAGAAUAAGAUGGGUGAUCUACCAAUUCAAAGCCAAAAUUAGUAUUUUCCAUAGUCUCAUAUGCUGUGUAUGCUGCUGCAUUGUCCGGCAAAAACAGGAUGCCACAGCUCAGCUUCCCACAUUUCUGCUUCACAGUUUGUGCAACAGAGACUUGUAGUAUUCAGUGUUGAUUGAGCAACUCAUUAGCAGGUAUUUUAUGAGGUGUACUCCUUCUUUGUCCCAGAACGCUGAAGCCAGAAUCUUUCCAGCUGACUUCUGAAUCUGAAACGUCUUGGGACACAGUGAACCUCUGUGGCACUACUCCAUUGAAUGCUGCUUGGUCUGGGGUUUGGUUGACCGGAUGUUAAACGAUGAUGAAGUUAAGUUUCAUUUAUGGUCACUAAACAAGCCAUAGAAUCAGCCCCUCUUGCUGCAAACUGGUCCAAAAUCACCUUUAGUGUCAUCACUCUGAUGCACUUCCGACCUGUGUUCAGGCAUUUCAGCACCUAUUUUGCAGAAAGCUUUGUGUCCAGGAUGCUGUGGAUGACGUGGCCAAAAUUUUUGUGGGAAAUCCUGGUUCAGCUAUGACCUUGGCUGAAAUCCAGCAGUCGUCAAGAAUCAUGAUGUGCACAGUGUUGACUUUGUCCUCUGUAAUAUAGAAGUUGGCCAUCUUGACCAGGGAUCAUCUAUGACCUCAAAAUGACCAGUCCAAAACCUUGACAUCCAUAUUUUCACUGUGAAGGGAGGUGGGUAGCCAUCCUUCAAGAUUUCCUUCCUCCCAUCAUGGAUUUUCGCAGCUCCCGUUUGCCUUGCAAAAGCGGAACUUCAUAUGUUUCAAUUUUACCAAAAUCCACUUUAGGGGCUGCCAUCAUGCAUUAAAUCUGCAAGAAAAGAGAAAGAUGGCACAAAUAGGAAAAUAGAACUCAAAACAUGAGUGUUUAUAUGCAUUUUGUAACUGUUGUUGAUUGAAUAAUAAAUAUAUAUAUAUAUA